AUGUGUUUUCUUCUGGGAAGUGAAACACAGUCAGAAAGACUGAUAGAGCUGUUUUUCAGAAGACUGAAACCUCACAGUUUCCAUCUGUGUCUCUCUUUAGCUGCGGCUCGUCCCGCUCUGACGGUGCUGCCUCCCUCCAGAGACGAGCUGCAGCAGGGGAAGGCUACAGUGCUGUGUGUGGCCAGUAAGGGAUUCCCCUCUGACUGGAAGCUGAGCUGGAAGGUGGACGGCAGCAGCAGGAGCUCUGGUGUCAAUCUGAGUCCCAGUCAGCUGCAGAAGGAUGGACUGUACAGCUGGAGCAGCAGCCUGAGCCUCACUGAGAGUGAGUGGAGCAGAGCAACAACCGUCAGCUGUGACGCCACGCACCCGUCCCACAGUGCAGUCACCAACAGCAUCAACACACAGCAGUGUGCAAUGCUGGUUAUCCAGACCGGCGUUGAAAAGGUCUUUCAGGGCCGCAUCAUUAUAUCCCAUUCCUACCGCCAUGGUCCAGAAUACUUGUGCCACACCACCCACCUCAUUCCCCUCUUGACGGAGAGUGGUUAA
Molecule: non-coding RNA, 546 nt
Organism: Carassius carassius (crucian carp)
Lineage: Eukaryota; Metazoa; Chordata; Actinopteri; Cypriniformes; Cyprinidae
Source: the annotation of a RefSeq genome assembly